CUUCCCCGGCACCGAGGUCAGGCUAACAGGUCUGUAGUUCCCCGGAUCCUCCCUGCAGCCCUUCUUGUAGAUGGGAGUCACAUUGGCAAGCCUCCAGUCUUCUGGGACCUCACCCGUCAACAAGGAGCGCUGAUAGAUGAUGAAGGAGCUCUGUGUCCUUGCAGUGGCAGGGCUGUAAGCAGGUAUCACGGUGGAGCUGUCACAGCAUGGGCAAGUACAGGUCAGAUAUGGAACAAUCAGAAUGACAACUAUUUAUCUGAAUUAGUCAUGAAAAACAAGUUGUUUUCCAGCUAGCUCUGCAAAACAAAUUUCUGCUUUGCUUGAGUCUGGCAAUGGUUUUACCUGAACUGGCUUACCCUCUAAAUGCUACGCCUCAUAUUCUCAGUAUAUUAUACUUCAUGCUACCCUGCAAGUGGUGAAGGGAGGUAUGGGUGCUCGGACAGAGAGUGGGUUAUCAGAGCCAUUGCCUGGUGGUUUUGUGUCCCUGAUGGCUGUUUCCCAUAGAAGUCGGUGAUAAGAUUCUCCAGGAGUGUUAAAUGAACUCCUUAGAUAUCAGCAUGGAUAUGAGUAACCUGUGAAGCAAGCUGGCUGUACUGUGUGGAACAGAGCUGGAGCAUUGCAGCCUUGCAUUUUUCAGACUAAACAACAAUACAAAUAUAUAGCUGCUUGCAACAACGCGUGGUUCAUCACAGACUGUAUGCCAGGAUUAUUAGCCCUUUGGCCAGAAGAGUGUAAGAGGAAACAGAAGCAGCCAAACUCCUUCAUUACUUGGAGAGUUCCCCAGCCUUUUUCUUCAGCUUAUGUAUUUUAAUUAGAAUGUUGUAUGGUUUCUCCACAAUGUAAGAUAAGUUGGCCCUUGAUUAUCCAAGUAAAUUAGUUAAUGAUGCUUGCUCAUUGCAAUUAAACUUUCCCAUU
Gallus gallus (chicken) is the source of this 915-nucleotide long non-coding RNA. Lineage: Eukaryota; Metazoa; Chordata; Aves; Galliformes; Phasianidae. The record is from Ensembl.